This 576-nucleotide ribosomal RNA is filed under the name uncultured eukaryote. RNAcentral's name for it is "SSU rRNA". It matches the Rfam family "Eukaryotic small subunit ribosomal RNA", at positions 175 to 769 of the family's 1831-position model. The record is from RNAcentral.
UAAAAACCCCGACUUCGGRAGGGGUGUAUUUAUUAGAUACAAAACCAAUGCCCUUCGGGGCUCUUUGGUGAUUCAUGAWAACUAUACGAAUCGCACGGCCUUGCGCCGGCGAUGGUUCAUUCAAAUUUCUUCCCUAUCAACUUUCGAUGUUUGGGUAUUGGCCAAACAUGGUUGCAACGGGUAACGGAGGGUUAGGGCUCGMCCCCGGAGAAGGAGCCUGAGAAACGGCUACUACAUCCAAGGAAGGCAGCAGGCGCGCAAAUUACCCAAUCCCGACUCGGGGAGGUAGUGACAAUAAAUACUGAUACAGGGCCCUUUCGGGCCUUGUAAUUGGAAUGAGUACAAUUUAAAUCCCUUAACGAGGAACAAUUGGAGGGCAAGUCUGGUGCCAGCAGCCGCGGUAAUUCCAGCUCCAAUAGCGUAUAUUAAAGUUGUUGUGGUUAAAAAGCUCGUAGUUGAACCUUGGGCCUGGCUGGCCSGUCCGCCUCACCGCGUGCACUGGUCCGGCCGGGCCUUUCCCUCUGUGGAACCCCAUACCCUUCACUGGGCGUGGCGGGGAAACAGGACAUUUACUUU